UGCGCAGGAGGGUUUGUAAGUCAGUGGUGAAAUGCUGCCGCUUAACGGUAGAAUUGCCAUUGAUACUGCAAAUCUUGAGUAUGGUUGAGGUAGGCGGAAUGUGUCGUGUAGCGGUGAAAUGCAUAGAUAUGACACAGAACGCCGAUUGCGAAGGCAGCUUACUAAGCCAUUACUGACGCUGAGGCACGAAAGCGUGGGGAGCGAACAGGAUUAGAUACCCUGGUAGUCC
Molecule: ribosomal RNA, 229 nt
Filed under: uncultured bacterium
Lineage: Bacteria
Description: partial 16S ribosomal RNA
Rfam family: Bacterial small subunit ribosomal RNA
Source: RNAcentral